UCCUACGGGAGGCAGCAGUGAGGAAUAUUGCGCAAUGGACGGAAGUCUGACGCAGCAAUGCCGCGUGCGGGAUGAAGGCGCUAUGCGUCGUAAACCGCUGUAGCGUGGGGCAAAAAGCACCUUUGGGGUGUUAGAUGGCACCACGAAAGUAAGCAUCGGCUAACUACGUGCCAGCAGCCGCGGUAAUACGUAGGAUGCAAGCGUUGUCCGGAUUUACUGGGUGUAAAGGGUGCGCAGGCGGGCUGGUAAGUCAGAGGUGAAAGCCCGGAGCUUAACUCCGGAAAUGCCUUUGAUACUGCCAGUCUUGAAUAUGAGAGAGGUUCAUGGAAUAUGUGGUGUAGCGGUGAAAUGCGUAGAUAUCACAUAGAACACCAGUGGCGAAGGCGGUGAACUGGCUCAUUAUUGACGCUCAUGCACGAAAGUGUGGGUAGCAAACAGGAUUAGAUACCCUGGUAGUCCACACCUUAAACGAUGUAUGCUUGAUGUUGGGGUAGCAAUACCUCAGUGUCGUAGGAAAUCCGAUAAGCAUACCACCUGGGAAGUACGAUCGCAAGGUUGAAACUCAAAGGAAUUGACGGGGA
RNAcentral lists this ribosomal RNA (581 nucleotides) under uncultured Bacteroidota bacterium. RNAcentral's name for it is "bacterial SSU rRNA". It matches the Rfam family "Bacterial small subunit ribosomal RNA", at positions 337 to 919 of the family's 1533-position model. The record is from RNAcentral. Lineage: Bacteria; Pseudomonadati; Bacteroidota.